RNAcentral lists this ribosomal RNA (407 nucleotides) under bacterium. RNAcentral's name for it is "partial 16S ribosomal RNA". It matches the Rfam family "Bacterial small subunit ribosomal RNA", at positions 355 to 776 of the family's 1533-position model. The record is from RNAcentral.
UGGGGAAUAUUGGACAAUGGACCGAGAGUCUGAUCCAGAAAUUCUGUGUGCACGAUGACGUUUUUCGGAAUGUAAAGUGCUUUCAGUUGGGAAGAAAGAAAUGACGGUACCAACAGAAGAAGUGACGGCUAAAGACGGGCCAGCAGACGCGGUAAUACGGAUGGCACGAGCGUUAUCCGGAUUUAUUGGGCGUAAAGCGCGUCUAGGUGGUUAUGUAAGUCUGAUGUGAAAAUGCAGGGCUCAACUCUGUAUUGCGUUGGAAACUGUAUAACUAGAGUACUGGAGAGGUAAGCGGAACUACAAGUGUAGAGGUGAAAUUCGUAGAUAUUUGUAGGAAUGCCGAUGGGGAAGCCAGCUUACUGGACAGAUACUGACGCUAAAGCGCGAAAGCGUGGGUAGCAAACAGG